Helicoverpa zea (corn earworm) is the source of this 477-nucleotide long non-coding RNA. RefSeq lists it as uncharacterized. NCBI's taxonomy places the organism in Eukaryota, Metazoa, Arthropoda, Insecta, Lepidoptera, Noctuidae. The transcript is spliced from 2 exons. The record is from RefSeq and is a predicted model, not a curated record.
UGUUUAUUGUGUGUGUUGAGGUGUUAUGCCAUGUUCGUCCAAUUGCAUGAACUUUCGUACUAUGCGACACGUGUUGAGGAUUGCGGCUUUUUGUAGUAAAAUGUAGAUGGAGUCUUUAAGUUCUAUUAGUUUGAGGCUGUGGUGGAGGUGAUUGGGUAUGACACCCGUGGUGGAGACGACUAUUGGUACUACGUAUACUUUAUCUUGUCUCCAAAUUCUCGUGACCUCUUCUUUAAGUUCUUCAUAUUUGCUUAUUUUUUCUACUAUUGUUUUUUGUAAGUUAUGGGUGUUGGGUACUGCGAUAUCUAUAAGGUGGACUCCCAACAUAGACAAAUUGGUAGCUGAUGACAUAAUACCCGGUGUGAGUGAAACCUGGUGUUGCCAUGUACAAGCAGUACAAAUCGAAGAUGCUCUCCGCAAAUGUGAAUAAUGCCAUGAACUGGAAAACAAAUUAAUUAAAUUAAUGUGAAAGUUUAA